This 318-nucleotide unclassified non-coding RNA is filed under the name soil metagenome. RNAcentral describes it as "partial contains 5.8S ribosomal RNA, internal transcribed spacer 2, and large subunit ribosomal RNA". The stretch from base 1 to 121 matches the Rfam family "5.8S ribosomal RNA", at positions 35 to 154 of the family's 154-position model. The record is from RNAcentral.
GAUGAAGAACGUAGCGAAAUGCGAUAAGUAAUGUGAAUUGCAGAAUUCAGUGAAUCAUCGAAUCUUUGAACGCACCUUGCGCCCUUUGGCUAUUCCGAGGGGCACACCCGUCCGAGCGCCGUUCGAAACCUCAGGCCGCGCCUGGCGUUGGGGAGGCCGUGCGGCCCCCCCCGAAACCCUUUGGCGACGCAGGCCGUCCGCGAACGCAGCGAAAACCGCGUCCGGCCGGACCCCGCGGCCGCCGGUCCCUUUUGGAAGGUUUGGCCUCGGAUCGGGUGGGGACACCCGCUGAACUUAAGCAUAUCAAUAAGCGGAGGA